This 497-nucleotide ribosomal RNA is filed under the name uncultured bacterium. RNAcentral's name for it is "partial 16S ribosomal RNA". It matches the Rfam family "Bacterial small subunit ribosomal RNA", at positions 28 to 507 of the family's 1533-position model. The record is from RNAcentral.
GAUGAACGCUGGCGGCGUGCUUAAUACAUGCAAGUCGAGCGAACAGACCCGGAGCUUGCCCCUUUGACGUUAGCGGCGGACGUGCGAGUAACACGUGGAUCACCUACCUCUAAGACUGGGAUCACUUCGGGAAACCGGCUCUAACACCGCUCAACAUAUUGAACCGCAUUGUUCAAUAGUGAAUGACGGCCUUGCCGUCACCUAUAGAUGCCUCCCGGCCGCAUUAUCUAGUUGGUAAGGUAACGGCUUACCAAGGCAAGGAUGCGUAGCCGACCUGAGAGGGUGAUCGGCCACCCUGGAACUGAGCCGCGGGCCAGAGACCUACGGGAGGCCGCAGUAGGUAAUCUUCGGCAGUGGGGGAAAACUUGACGGAGCAGCGGCGCGUGGGUUAUGAAGGUCUCCGGAUCGGGAGCCCCGGUUAACAGGGGAGAACCUAUGCAUAAUGAAAGGUAGACGUCGUGACGGUAUCGUAUCAGAAAGCCACGGCUAACUACGUG